This 305-nucleotide ribosomal RNA is filed under the name uncultured bacterium. RNAcentral's name for it is "partial 16S ribosomal RNA". It matches the Rfam family "Bacterial small subunit ribosomal RNA", at positions 505 to 807 of the family's 1533-position model. The record is from RNAcentral.
ACAGCAGUCGCCACGGUAAUACAGAGGGUGCGAGCGUUAAUCGGAUUUACUGGGCGUAAAGCGUGCGUAGGCGGCUUCUUAAGUCGGAUGUGAAAUCCCUGAGCUUAACUUAGGAAUUGCAUUCGAUACUGGGAAGCUAGAGUAUGGGAGAGGAUGGUAGAAUUCCAGGUGUAGCGGUGAAAUGCGUAGGGAUCUGGAGGAAUACCGAUGGCGAAGGCAGCCAUCUGGCCUAAUACUGACGCUGAGGUACGAAAGCAUGGGGAGCAAACAGGAUUAGAUACCCCUGUAGUCCCUGUCUCUUAUAC